This 450-nucleotide ribosomal RNA is filed under the name uncultured Glomeromycotina. RNAcentral describes it as "SSU rRNA". It matches the Rfam family "Eukaryotic small subunit ribosomal RNA", at positions 569 to 1023 of the family's 1831-position model. Lineage: Eukaryota; Fungi; Glomeromycota. The record is from RNAcentral.
AGCAGCCGCGGUAAUUCCAGCUCCAAUAGCGUAUAUUAAAGUUGUUGCAGUUAAAAAGCUCGUAGUUGAAUUUCGGGGUCAAUACGUCGGUCGUGCCUUCGGUACGUACUGGUGUUAUUGAUCUCUCCCUUCUGAUGAAUCAUGAUGUCAUUAAUUUGGUGUCGUGGGGAACCAGGACUGUUACUUUGAAAAAAUUAGAGUGUUUAAAGCAGGCUCGCGCUUGAAUACAUUAGCAUGGAAUAAUGAAAUAGGACGUUCGAUCCUAUUUUGUUGGUUUCUAGGAUUGACGUAAUGAUUAAUAGGGAUAGUUGGGGGCAUUAGUAUUCAAUUGUCAGAGGUGAAAUUCUUGGAUUUAUUGAAGACUAACUACUGCGAAAGCAUUUGCCAAGGAUGUUUUCAUUAAUCAAGAACGAAAGUUAGGGGAUCGAAGACGAUCAGAUACCGUCGUAG